GACGAACGCUGGCGGCGUGCCUAAUACAUGCAAGUAGAACGCACAGUUUAUACCGUAGCUUGCUACACCAUAGACUGUGAGUUGCGAACGGGUGAGUAACGCGUAGGUAACCUGCCUGGUAGCGGGGGAUAACUAUUGGAAACGAUAACUAAUACCGCAUAAUAUUAAUUAUUGCAUGAUAAUUGAUUGAAAGAUGCAACUGCAUCACUACCAGAUGGACCUGCGUUGUAUUAGCUAGUAGGUGAGGUAACGGCUCACCUAGGCGACGAUACAUAGCCGACCUGAGAGGGUGAUCGGCCACACUGGGACUGAGACACGGUCCAGACUCCUACGGGAGGCAGCAGUAGGGAAUCUUCGGCAAUGGACGAAAGUCUGACCGAGCAACGCCGCGUGAGUGAAGAAGGUUUUCGGAUCGUAAAGCUCUGUUGUAAGAGAAGAACGGGUGUGAGAGUGGAAAGUUCACACUGUGACGGUAUCUUACCAGAAAGGGACGGCUAACUACGUG
RNAcentral lists this ribosomal RNA (505 nucleotides) under uncultured bacterium. RNAcentral describes it as "partial 16S ribosomal RNA". It matches the Rfam family "Bacterial small subunit ribosomal RNA", at positions 28 to 507 of the family's 1533-position model. The record is from RNAcentral.